GAAAAAUUAAUUGAGGGUGAGAAUAUUUUCGUUAUAAUAGACGAGGAUGCAUCCAAGGCAUUUAUACAAGUAUUACAAGUUUAUUGGGACACAAGUUACAUAAGUCAUAUAACAUAAAAAUAAAAUUCUCAGACCUGUAACCGGUUACACAAAAUCUGUAAUUGGUUAUCGCUUAAGUAAAAUAAAAAUUAAUUAUUAAUGGUUACAACACUUG
This 214-nucleotide long non-coding RNA is filed under the name Lathyrus oleraceus (garden pea). RNAcentral's name for it is "Pisum sativum (pea) long non-coding RNA (PSAT_LNC030464)". The record is from RNAcentral. Lineage: Eukaryota; Viridiplantae; Streptophyta; Magnoliopsida; Fabales; Fabaceae.